GGAGACGUAUCGAAGAGGUCAUAACGGGGCUGACUCGAAAUCAGUUUGCCUUUCGGGGCACGCGGGUUCGAAUCCCGCCGUCUCCG
Molecule: transfer RNA, 86 nt
Filed under: Bacteroides fragilis
Lineage: Bacteria; Pseudomonadati; Bacteroidota; Bacteroidia; Bacteroidales; Bacteroidaceae
Also listed under: 4 other names
Description: tRNA-Ser
Rfam family: tRNA
About the family: Transfer RNA (tRNA) molecules are approximately 80 nucleotides in length. Their secondary structure includes four short double-helical elements and three loops (D, anti-codon, and T loops).
Source: RNAcentral